GGUUAAGUUAGAAAGGGCGCACGGUGGAUGCCUUGGCACUAGGAGCCGAAGAAGGACGGGACUAACACCGAUAUGCUUUGGGGAGCUGUACGUAAGCGUUGAUCCAGAGAUUUCCGAAUGGGGGAACCCACUAUCUUUAGUCGGAUAGUAUCCUUACGUGAAUACAUAGCGUGAGGAAGGCAGACCCAGGGAACUGAAACAUCUAAGUACCUGGAGGAAGAGAAAGAAAAAUCGAUUUCCUGAGUAG
This 247-nucleotide ribosomal RNA is filed under the name Listeria monocytogenes. Its description in RNAcentral is "partial 23S ribosomal RNA". It matches the Rfam family "Bacterial large subunit ribosomal RNA", at positions 1 to 246 of the family's 2925-position model. Lineage: Bacteria; Bacillati; Bacillota; Bacilli; Caryophanales; Listeriaceae. The record is from RNAcentral.